UACGUAGGGGGCAAGCGUUAUCCGGAUUUACUGGGUGUAAAGGGGGCGCAGACGGCGCGGCAAGUCCGGAGUGAAAUCCCAGGGCCCAACCCUGGGGCUGCUCUGGAAACUGCCGGGCUGGAGUGCUGGAGGGGCAGGCGGAAUUCCUAGUGUAGCGGUGAAAUGCAUAGAUAUUAGGAGGAACACCAGUGGCGAAGGCGGCUUGCUGGACUGAAACUGACGCUGAGGCUCGAAAGCGUGGGGAGCAAACAGG
This 253-nucleotide ribosomal RNA is filed under the name uncultured bacterium. RNAcentral describes it as "partial 16S ribosomal RNA". It matches the Rfam family "Bacterial small subunit ribosomal RNA", at positions 524 to 776 of the family's 1533-position model. The record is from RNAcentral.